RNAcentral lists this ribosomal RNA (713 nucleotides) under uncultured Staphylococcus sp. RNAcentral describes it as "bacterial SSU rRNA". It matches the Rfam family "Bacterial small subunit ribosomal RNA", at positions 58 to 753 of the family's 1533-position model. Lineage: Bacteria; Bacillati; Bacillota; Bacilli; Caryophanales; Staphylococcaceae. The record is from RNAcentral.
CAAGUCGAGCGAACGGACGAGAAGCUUGCUUCUCUGAUGUUAGCGGCGGACGGGUGAGUAACACGUGGAUAACCUACCUAUAAGACUGGGAUAACUUCGGGAAACCGGAGCUAAUACCGGAUAAUAUUUUGAACCGCAUGGUUCAAAAGUGAAAGACGGUCUUGCUGUCACUUAUAGAUGGAUCCGCGCUGCAUUAGCUAGUUGGUAAGGUAACGGCUUACCAAGGCAACGAUGCAUAGCCGACCUGAGAGGGUGAUCGGCCACACUGGAACUGAGACACGGUCCAGACUCCUACGGGAGGCAGCAGUAGGGAAUCUUCCGCAAUGGGCGAAAGCCUGACGGAGCAACGCCGCGUGAGUGAUGAAGGUCUUCGGAUCGUAAAACUCUGUUAUUAGGGAAGAACAUAUGUGUAAGUAACUGUGCACAUCUUGACGGUACCUAAUCAGAAAGCCACGGCUAACUACGUGCCAGCAGCCGCGGUAAUACGUAGGUGGCAAGCGUUACCCGGAAUUAUUGGGCGUAAAGCGCGCGUAGGCGGUUUUUUAAGUCUGAUGUGAAAGCCCACGGCUCAACCGUGGAGGGUCAUUGGAAACUGGAAAACUUGAGUGCAGAAGAGGAAAGUGGAAUUCCAUGUGUAGCGGUGAAAUGCGCAGAGAUAUGGAGGAACACCAGUGGCGAAGGCGACUUUCUGGUCUGUAACUGACGCUGAUGUG